UAGGGAAUCUUCCGCAAUGGGCGAAAGCCUGACGGAGCAACGCCGCGUGAGUGAUGAAGGUCUUCGGAUCGUAAAACUCUGUUAUUAGGGAAGAACAAAUGUGUAAGUAACUAUGCACGUCUUGACGGUACCUAAUCAGAAAGCCACGGCUAACUACGUGCCAGCAGCCGCGGUAAUACGUAGGUGGCAAGCGUUAUCCGGAAUUAUUGGGCGUAAAGCGCGCGUAGGCGGUUUUUUAAGUCUGAUGUGAAAGCCCACGGCUCAACCGUGGGGGGUCAUUGGAAACUGGGAAGCUUGAGUGCAGAAGAGGAAAGUGGAAUUCCAUGUGUAGCGGUGAAAUGCGCAGAGAUAUGGAGGAACACCAGUGGCGAAGGCGACUUACUGGUCUGUAACUGAAGCUGAUGUGCGAAAGCGUGGGGAUCAAACAGG
Molecule: ribosomal RNA, 429 nt
Filed under: Actinomycetes bacterium
Lineage: Bacteria; Bacillati; Actinomycetota; Actinomycetes
Description: Actinobacteria bacterium partial 16S ribosomal RNA
Rfam family: Bacterial small subunit ribosomal RNA
Source: RNAcentral